RNAcentral lists this ribosomal RNA (428 nucleotides) under uncultured bacterium. Its description in RNAcentral is "bacterial SSU rRNA". It matches the Rfam family "Bacterial small subunit ribosomal RNA", at positions 354 to 796 of the family's 1533-position model. The record is from RNAcentral.
GUCGAGAAUCUUCCGCAAUGCGCGAAAGCGUGACGGAGCGACACCGCGUGAUGGAUGAAGUCCUUCGGGGCGUAAACAUCUUUUAUAAAGGAGGAAAUUUUUGACGUUACUUUAUGAAUAAGGGGCUCCCAAUCUCGUGCCAGCAGGAGCGGUAAUACGAGAGCCUCAAGCGUUAUCCGGAAUCAUUGGGCGUAAAGGGUGCGUAGGUGGUUUGAUUAGUCUCCCGUUAAAACUUCGAGCUUAACUCGAAAAGAGCGGGGGAAACGGUCAAACUAGAGUAUGUGAGAGGUGUGUGGAACUCCUGGUGUAGGGGUGAAAUCCGUUGAUAUCAUGGGGAACACCAAAAGCGAAGGCAGCACACUGGCACAUCACUGACACUGAGGCACGAAACCUAAGGUAGCGAAUGGGAUUAGAUACCCCAGUAGUCC